CGGGGCGUGGCGCAGUAUGGUUCAGCGCGCUUGCCUUGGGCGCAAGAGGCCGCUGGUUCAAAUCCAGUCGCCCCGACCA
Molecule: transfer RNA, 79 nt
Filed under: Syntrophorhabdus sp. PtaB.Bin047
Lineage: Bacteria; Pseudomonadati; Thermodesulfobacteriota; Syntrophorhabdia; Syntrophorhabdales; Syntrophorhabdaceae
Also listed under: 4 other names
Description: tRNA-Pro
Rfam family: tRNA
About the family: Transfer RNA (tRNA) molecules are approximately 80 nucleotides in length. Their secondary structure includes four short double-helical elements and three loops (D, anti-codon, and T loops). Further hydrogen bonds mediate the characteristic L-shaped molecular structure. tRNAs have two regions of fundamental functional importance: the anti-codon, which is responsible for specific mRNA codon recognition, and the 3' end, to which the tRNAs corresponding amino acid is attached (by aminoacyl-tRNA synthetases). tRNAs cope with the degeneracy of the genetic code in two manners: having more than one tRNA (with a specific anti-codon) for a particular amino acid; and 'wobble' base-pairing, i.e. permitting non-standard base-pairing at the 3rd anti-codon position.
Source: RNAcentral